This 484-nucleotide ribosomal RNA is filed under the name uncultured bacterium. RNAcentral's name for it is "partial 16S ribosomal RNA". It matches the Rfam family "Bacterial small subunit ribosomal RNA", at positions 30 to 507 of the family's 1533-position model. The record is from RNAcentral.
AUUGAACGCUGGCGGCAUGCCUUACACAUGCAAGUCGAACGGUAACAGGUCUUUCGGGAUGCUGACGAGUGGCGAACGGGUGAGUAAUACAUCGGAACGUGCCUAGUAGUGGGGGAUAACUACUCGAAAGAGUGGCUAAUACCGCAUGAGAUCUAUGGAUGAAAGCAGGUGACCUUUGGGCCUUGUGCUACUAGAGCGGCCGAUGGCAGAUUCGGUAGUUGGUGGGAUAAAAGCUUACCAAGCCUACGAUCUGUAGCUGGUCUGAGAGGACGAUCAGCCACACUGGGACUGAGACACGGCACAGACUCCUGCGGGAGGCAGCAGUGGGGAAUUUUGGACAAUGGGCGCAAGCCUGAUCCAGCAAUGCCGCGUGCAGGAUGAAGGCCUUCGGGUUGUAAACUGCUUUUGUACGGAACGAAAAGACUUGGGUUAAUACCCUGGGAUCAUGACGGUACCGUAAGAAUAAGCACCGGCUAACUACGUG